CUCGUAGGCGGCUUGUCGCGUCUGCUGUGAAAUCCCGGAGCUCAACUCCGGGCCUGCAGUGGGUACGGGCAAGCUAGAGUGCGGUAGGGGAGAUUGGAAUUCCUGGUGUAGCGGUGGAAUGCGCAGAUAUCAGGAGGAACACCGAUGGCGAAGGCAGAUCUCUGGGCCGCUACUGACGCUGAGGAGCGAAAGCAGUGGGGAGCGAACA
This 208-nucleotide ribosomal RNA is filed under the name uncultured bacterium. RNAcentral's name for it is "partial 16S ribosomal RNA". It matches the Rfam family "Bacterial small subunit ribosomal RNA", at positions 568 to 774 of the family's 1533-position model. The record is from RNAcentral.